AGGGCACCACCAGGAGUGGAGCCUGCGGCUUAAUUUGACUCAACACGGGAAAACUCACCCGGCCCGGACACCGUAAGGGUUGACAGAUUGAGAGCUCUUUCUUGAUUCGGUGGGUGGUGGUGCAUGGCCGUUCUUAGUUGGUGGAGCGAUUUGUCUGGUUAAUUCCGAUAACGAACGAGACUCUAGCCUGCUAAAUAGGCAGUGGAUUCUUAGUCCACUGUACUUCUUAGAGGGACAAGCAGCGUCUAGCUGCACGAGAUUGAGCAAUAACAGGUCUGUGUUGCCCUUAGAUGUUCGGGGCUGCACGCGCGCUACACUGAAGGAAUCAACAUGCUUCUCAACCUUGCCCGGAAGGGCUAGGUAACCCGUUGAAACUCCUUCGUGAUUGGGAUAGGGAAUUGCAAUUAUUUCCCUUGAACGAGGAAUUCCCAGUAAGUGCGGGUCAUCAGCUCGCGCUGAUUACGUCCCUGCCCUUUGUACACACCGCCCGUCGCUACUACCGAUUGGAAGUAUACGAGA
Molecule: ribosomal RNA, 519 nt
Filed under: uncultured eukaryote
Lineage: Eukaryota
Description: SSU rRNA
Rfam family: Eukaryotic small subunit ribosomal RNA
Source: RNAcentral